GGAGGUAUAGCUCAGUGGUAGAGUGUGUGCUUAGCAUGUAGAAGGUCCUGGGUUCAAUCCUCAGUACCUCCA
Molecule: transfer RNA, 72 nt
Filed under: Camelus bactrianus (Bactrian camel)
Lineage: Eukaryota; Metazoa; Chordata; Mammalia; Artiodactyla; Camelidae
Also listed under: 2 other names
Rfam family: tRNA
About the family: Transfer RNA (tRNA) molecules are approximately 80 nucleotides in length. Their secondary structure includes four short double-helical elements and three loops (D, anti-codon, and T loops). Further hydrogen bonds mediate the characteristic L-shaped molecular structure. tRNAs have two regions of fundamental functional importance: the anti-codon, which is responsible for specific mRNA codon recognition, and the 3' end, to which the tRNAs corresponding amino acid is attached (by aminoacyl-tRNA synthetases). tRNAs cope with the degeneracy of the genetic code in two manners: having more than one tRNA (with a specific anti-codon) for a particular amino acid; and 'wobble' base-pairing, i.e. permitting non-standard base-pairing at the 3rd anti-codon position.
Source: Rfam by way of RNAcentral